CUUCGUUAUAACUUUUCAUUUUACCUCUUUCCAUCAAUAUAAUAAGAUAUAAUACAUAAUUUUACUCGAGAGAGAUCAUUAGUUAUAAUUUGUUAUUUUGAUUGUUAACACAUAUAGAAAAAGGCCAUAGGAUAUUGAAACUAAUGAAAAUUAACUGACGUUAAGUGAAAUCAAAGGUCCUAACUACCAAAUCCCCUAAGUUUUCCAAAAAGUCUCCUUGUGUUAAUUGUGUUAGAUAUAUUUCAGUACAAUCUUAGUUUAAAUUCAAUCCUUAAGUCAUUACUUGGUAACAAUAUUAGUUUUAUUUGAAGCUAGGUUUAGUCAUUAGAAUAGAAAUUGAUAAUAAGAUUAUUACUUGUCAAUAUACCAUACACUUGUGCUUUCGGUGAAAAGAUAGCAAAUCUACCUUUGGUGCUUUAUAUUAACAAAUAAAAUCAAAUCUUUCUCUUAUAAUGAUUCACACUACCUCUGUAGGAUUAUCUUACCCCACUUUCUGAAUUAGAAUCUGUAAUUAAGGUGAGACUUUUUUCCAUUAGGAUUACAUUGUUGAUAUUUUUUGGAACUUCAAAUCUUAAUAACAUAAAAACUUAAUUACUUUAUUGUUAAGAUCUUUCAUGUCAAAUCACAAAGAAAAUUAAUAAUGCAAAACAUACCUUAAUUCUUUGGGAACGAUUUUUUAUUACUAGAUCUUAAUUUCAUAUCUUGAAUCUUCAAAAUCAACCUGGAAUCCCUUCUUGAUUGGUUUCUUGCUUUCAAUCUUGAAUUUUUGCCUCCUUGAAUUCUUUGAUUUUUGUUCUUGGUUUUCCUUCUGGAUCCAUAAUUUUGAUUCUUGAAUUCCUUCAACUUGAUUCUUGAUUGUAGAUUUUAUGUUAUUGAUUGUGGAUUUUUGGAUCUUCUUCUUCAAUAUGCAUUCUCUCUAAAUUUUUGUGUUGAUG
Molecule: long non-coding RNA, 935 nt
Filed under: Olea europaea subsp. europaea
Lineage: Eukaryota; Viridiplantae; Streptophyta; Magnoliopsida; Lamiales; Oleaceae
Source: RNAcentral